RNAcentral lists this ribosomal RNA (749 nucleotides) under uncultured bacterium. Its description in RNAcentral is "bacterial SSU rRNA". It matches the Rfam family "Bacterial small subunit ribosomal RNA", at positions 482 to 1239 of the family's 1533-position model. The record is from RNAcentral.
UGGAAUUCGCCCUUGUGCCAGCCGCCGCGGUAAUACGUAGGGUGCAAGCGUUGUCCGGAAUUAUUGGGCGUAAAGAGCUCGUAGGCGGUUUGUCGCGUCUGGUGUGAAAAUCCAGGGCUUAACCCUGGACCUGCAUCGGGUACGGGCAGACUAGAGUGCGGUAGGGGAGAUCGGAAUUCCUGGUGUAGCGGUGAAAUGCGCAGAUAUCAGGAGGAACACCGGUGGCGAAGGCGGAUCUCUGGGCCGUAACUGACGCUGAGGAGCGAAAGCAUGGGGAGCGAACAGGAUUAGAUACCCUGGUAGUCCAUGCCGUAAACGUUGGGCGCUAGGUGUGGGGCUCAUUCCACGAGUUCUGUGCCGCAGCUAACGCAUUAAGCGCCCCGCCUGGGGAGUACGGCCGCAAGGCUAAAACUCAAAGGAAUUGACGGGGGCCCGCACAAGCGGCGGAGCAUGCGGAUUAAUUCGAUGCAACGCGAAGAACCUUACCAAGGCUUGACAUGCAGGGUAAUCCGGCAGAAACGUCGGGUCCGCAAGGGAUCCUGUACAGGUGGUGCAUGGUUGUCGUCAGCUCGUGUCGUGAGAUGUUGGGUUAAGUCCCGCAACGAGCGCAACCCUCGUUCUAUGUUGCCAGCACGUGAUGGUGGGGACUCAUAGGAGACUGCCGGGGUCAACUCGGAGGAAGGUGGGGAUGACGUCAAAUCAUCAUGCCCCUUAUGUCUUGGGCUUCACGCAUGCUACAAUGGCCAGUA